This 104-nucleotide small nuclear RNA is filed under the name Catagonus wagneri (Chacoan peccary). The record is from RNAcentral. Lineage: Eukaryota; Metazoa; Chordata; Mammalia; Artiodactyla; Tayassuidae.
GUGCCCUCUUCGGCAGCACAUAUACUACAAUUGGAACGACACAGAGAUUAGCAUGGCCCCUGCGCAAGGAUGACACGCAAAUUCCUGAAGCGUUCCAUAUUUAA